CAAAACAGUAUUAUUUUGCUAGCUAAAAUCACAAGGAGUUGGGUCACGAUAUUAUGGGAACCACAAGAACUCCAUCCAUAUUUUGCCAACUUUUUCUCCAGAACGGAACUGAACCCAUGGUUUUGAUUUUGAAGUUUUUAUACAUGUAUAGUUCUAAUAAUUAAAUAGCUCACAAAUAAUAUUAAUGUUUGCAUAUGUAACUUUUUUGUAGCUUUAUUUUAUGUUAUUUUCCUUAAAUUUUCAAAUGGGUGCAUGGUACCAAAAUUAAUUGCUCGGUGUUGUUUAGUAUUUAAAUUUUAGGAUGUUGUUGGCAAUUUUAAAUAUUGGUUUAGCUGUUACGCUUCCCUUUUCCAUGGUUUCCAUUAAAUUUUUUGGUGUUAUGUAUUGAAUUUGUAGGUGGAGAUGAAUGCUCUUAAGUCUGGACUCUCUAUAAAUAAAAAGAAAAAAUAUAUAUUAAUAAUAAUUACAGUAUUAAUAUUAUUAUUAAUAAUAAUAAUAGUGGUAUCAGCUUUAAAGCCGUUGGAACCCCCUGCCUUGUAUUUAUUUAUUUUAAUUAUUUAUUUCUCUGGUAUAGAGUUUAUUUUACAUUCUGUAAAUCUCUCUCCACAUCAAACUUAAAAACACCGACUCCCCUCUCUAAUAAGCAAUGAAUGAAUGAAGAGAAAGAGAAGAGAGGCCUUACUCCUCUGGCUUGUGUAAUUACAAAUAUUUACUCCAAAUUUCCACUUCCUGCUAUAUUUCUUGGGAUUUUUUCCAACCAUUAAUACAUUUCCUGGCCUCAAUUUACAUCUUCUUCUACCACCCCCAACACUUCAAUUCUCUCUCUCCUCUUAAAUCCUAUAAUUUAAUUAUGCUUUAAAGAAAACCCAUCUCCCUUCUUCCUCAACUCCACUUCUAUAUAAUGCUCCCUUCCCUUCUUCUAACAUAUCUCCCCAUAUAUACCCAACAACUAUACACCAACACAUAUUACCUUUCAUCUUCACCUUUUCUUCCUUCCCUCUUUUCGUUCUAAGUUUCUUUCUAGUACUUCUACUACUCUCUCUCCCACCCCCUUUCCCCAACUUAUUAUAUAUUCUCAAUCAGGUUAUUAUUAUUAUAUAUUUACAAAACUUAGAAGACAAAGAUUACUUGUACAAUUUGUUACAAUUAAUUAAGCAGUACUUAAUUAGUAGCUAAGAUGAGUCGCCGAAACGGAAGCCGUCCAAAGCUAGAUUUAAAGCUGAACCUAUCGCCGCCUCGGGCGAACCCGCUGGUGGAGUCGCCGAGGCGGUCGGCUACGGUGUCACCGACGUCGCCACAGAGCUCGUGCGUGUCGUCGGAGCUGAAUCAAGACGAUCACAUGAGCCUCCGAUACUCGAACAGCCCAGAGGCCACUUCCAUGGUGUUGGUGGGGUGCCCUAGAUGCCUCAUGUAUGUCAUGCUCUCAGAAGAUGAUCCCAAGUGCCCCAAAUGUAAAAGCACCGUUUUGCUCGACUUCCUCCAUGACAACACUACUCCUACCUCUAAGCCUAGGAAGAGCUAAGACCAUUAUUAUUACCUAUAUUACUACUACUAUUAUUAUUAUAUAUAUAAACUUCAUCACCAUCAUCAUUUAGUCUUUCAUCUUCUCUCCCUUUCUUUUUUCUUUUUUUUAGGAGAAUCAUGUUAACUAGCUUUUUUUUUAUUUAUUUAAUUUCUUUGGAGGUAGUGUUAUUUGCGCUCCAUUUUAAGAAAGAAAUUUUGCUUGAUUUUGAGAGAUUUUGUGAUCGACAAAAGGCUCGUUUGUGAAGAAAUAGAGAAGGAAAAUGGAGUGAAAAUAACACAACUUUUUUUUUUCUACUACUAGUAUUUUUUUUCGUAAUCAUAGAAAAUAGAGGAAGGGGCAAAAUGGGGUUUUGGCAUGGAUAACUUUGUCUUGUUCUGUUUCACUCUCUAGCAGAAGUGCAAUGUAAACCGUUACGUUCUAACAGUAACAGUAACUUCUGAAUAUUUUCUCUCAAGGCUAUUAAUUUAUUUUAUUUUCAGUUUUUA
Humulus lupulus (European hop) is the source of this 2010-nucleotide long non-coding RNA. RefSeq lists it as uncharacterized. NCBI's taxonomy places the organism in Eukaryota, Viridiplantae, Streptophyta, Magnoliopsida, Rosales, Cannabaceae. The transcript has 2 exons. The record is from RefSeq and is a predicted model, not a curated record.